UCAGGCCCCUAGGUUCUCUCUGUCUCGUUUGCUGGCGAUUUGGUUUAAGAACCACUUGGAUCCAUUUAACUUGGAGGGGAAAUGCAAAUCAGUGGAGGCGAGGUGGGGCUGCGCUUGACGAUCUUUGGUGGAUAGUGAAGCGAGGUUGAUGAGGACUGACGACCAUGAUGGAGAUGGAUUUUCAGGGGAUAGUGAAGUGCAAAUCAGGAGGUUUGAGUAGCAGCGAUGCACACAAUGACAAAGGUGAGUACUCGUUUCAUCAGGAUUGUGGAGAUUUAUUUUUGCGUUGACCUCCCUCUUCUGUGAAGCUACUGAUAUUUUUGUUCACUUUUGGAUUUCGAGGAAACUUCAAAUUUGUUUUGACGAUGAAGAGGAUGCAGUGCACACGGAGCACAAUACUUUGGUUGGUACCAGAUGAAUGAUGACUUCUGGUAUGAUGAUGUACCUUCUCUCACCAUGGCCAUGCCAUAUAGUUCAUUCAUCUACGGCUACAUGAGCUCAAGUUCCUAAGUCUUCCAGCGGGGUGGAGAUCAAGUAAUAGUCAUAAACCAGGAAGUAUUAAAUGGAAUUGCAAACUGAAGGGCCAGCAAAAAUAUGAUGUACUGCCUGUUUAGGAAAGCAAAUACGUUGGGGAGAAUGUUGAGCAGAAAUUGUGCACGGAUGAUGUGUUGUUUAUUUGAUCUAGAUUUUCACGUGGUUGAA
Molecule: long non-coding RNA, 702 nt
Organism: Setaria italica (foxtail millet)
Lineage: Eukaryota; Viridiplantae; Streptophyta; Magnoliopsida; Poales; Poaceae
Exons: 6
Source: RefSeq, a predicted model, not a curated record